RNAcentral lists this ribosomal RNA (484 nucleotides) under uncultured bacterium. RNAcentral describes it as "partial 16S ribosomal RNA". It matches the Rfam family "Bacterial small subunit ribosomal RNA", at positions 30 to 507 of the family's 1533-position model. The record is from RNAcentral.
AUUGAACGCUGGCGGCAGGCCUAACACAUGCAAGUCGAGCGGAUGAAGGGAGCUUGCUCCUGGAUUCAGCGGCGGACGGGUGAGUAAUGCCUAGGAAUCUGCCUGGUAGUGGGGGAUAACGUCCGGAAACGGGCGCUAAUACCGCAUACGUCCUGAGGGAGAAAGUGGGGGAUCUUCGGACCUCACGCUAUCAGAUGAGCCUAGGUCGGAUUAGCUAGUUGGUGGGGUAAAGGCCUACCAAGGCGACGAUCCGUAACUGGUCUGAGAGGAUGAUCAGUCACACUGGAACUGAGACACGGUCCAGACUCCUACGGGAGGCAGCAGUGGGGAAUAUUGGACAAUGGGCGAAAGCCUGAUGCAGCCAUGCCGCGUGUGUGAAGAAGGUCUUCGGAUUGUAAAGCACUUUUAGUUGGGAGGAAGGGCAGUAAGUUAAUACCUUGCUGUUUUGACGUUACCAAAAGAAAAAGCCACGGCUAACUUCGUG